This 650-nucleotide small RNA is filed under the name Pongo abelii (Sumatran orangutan). Its description in RNAcentral is "processed transcript". Lineage: Eukaryota; Metazoa; Chordata; Mammalia; Primates; Hominidae. The record is from RNAcentral.
AUCCUACCCUGGAUCACCACUGGCAUCUCUGGAAGAAAACCUAUGGCAAACAAUACAAGGAAAAGAAUGAAGAAGCAGUACGACGUCUCAUCUGGGAAAAGAAUCUAAAGUUUGUGAUGAUUCACAACCUGGAGCAUUCAAUGGGAAUGCACUCAUAUGAUCUGGGCAUGAACCACCUGGGAGAUAUGACCAGUGAAGAAGUGAUGUCUUUGAUGAGUUCCCUGAGAGUUCCCAGCCAGUGGCAGAGAAAUAUCACAUAUAAGUCAAACCCUAAUCGGAUAUUGCCUGAUUCUGUGGACUGGAGAGAGAAAGGGUGUGUUACUGAAGUGAAAUAUCAAGGUUCUUGUGGUGCUUGCUGGGCUUUCAGUGCUGUGGGGGCCCUGGAAGCACAGCUGAAGCUGAAAACAGGAAAGCUGGUGUCUCUCAGUGCCCAGAAUCUGGUGGAUUGCUCAACUGAAAAAUAUGGAAACAAAGGCUGCAAUGGUGGCUUCAUGACAACGGCUUUCCAGUACAUCAUUGAUAACAAGGGCAUCGACUCAGACGCUUCCUAUCCCUACAAAGCCAUGGUGUCUACUAUGAACCAUCCUGUACUCAGAAUGUGAAUCAUGGUGUACUUGUGGUUGGCUAUGGUGAUCUUAAUGGGAAAGAAU